AUGCACGCUGGCGGCGUGCCUCAUACAUGCACGUCGAGCGAACAGAUGAGGAGCUUGCUCCUCUGACGUUAGCGGCGGACGGGUGAGUAACACGUGGAUAACCUACCUAUAAGACUGGGAUAACUUCGGGAAACCGGAGCUAAUACCGGAUAAUAUAUUGAACCGCAUGGUUCAAUAGUGAAAGACGGUUUUGCUGUCACUUAUAGAUGGAUCCGCGCCGCAUUAGCUAGUUGGUAAGGUAACGGCUUACCAAGGCAACGAUGCGUAGCCGACCUGAGAGGGUGAUCGGCCACACUGGAACUGAGACACGGUCCAGACUCCUACGGGAGGCAGCAGUAGGGAAUCUUCCGCAAUGGGCGAAAGCCUGACGGAGCAACGCCGCGUGAGUGAUGAAGGUCUUCGGAUCGUAAAACUCUGUUAUUAGGGAAGAACAAAUGUGUAAGUAACUAUGCACGUCUUGACGGUACCUAAUCAGAAAGCCACGGCUAACUACGUG
This 496-nucleotide ribosomal RNA is filed under the name uncultured bacterium. RNAcentral's name for it is "partial 16S ribosomal RNA". It matches the Rfam family "Bacterial small subunit ribosomal RNA", at positions 29 to 507 of the family's 1533-position model. The record is from RNAcentral.